CCCUCAGCUUUGCAAACCCUGCUGAGAGCUGUGGCUCCUGUUCAGGGCUGGCUGGGGAGCCCCAGAGGGAGGGGUGGUGGGGGUUGGUGGGCUCAGACCCACUCCACAGUGCUGUGCUGGGUGUGGGCCAGGAGGAGACCUUGGAGUAAGAGUCCAGUGCUGUCCUUCAGAGCAGAUGUGGACCUGGAGAGGAUCCUGCAUUCCUUUACUAAGAAAGCACAGUGCAAGUGGAACAGCUGGGGGUUGAGAAAGCACAGUCCGAUUUGCUCUUGGAGAACCCACAGGGAUGAAUCUUUACAUGUGUCCUUUCCCAUUCAGAGAGAGGCCUGAAGGCGAGGGGCUCUGCCUGGCUGUUGGGUGGGAUGUGGGUCCUCCGGGCACAGGAUCCACAGGCAGAGGAGGGAUGUGACUCUAAAUGCCCUGGCUGGAGUGGCAGGGACUGUGGUCCUGCAUAGGGCUGGACACCAAGCGAGGCCCUGAGGGUUCACAAGGGCUCAGAGCAGCUGCUGUGGGGUGCAGCCUGCAGAGCCAAGUCUGGUUGAACCAAACCACAGCAAUUUCAGGGGCUGGCUGGUUUGGGGCAAAUCCCCCUUAUCCCCACUCCCAGAGUGAGGAUGUGCUGCUUCCCUGGGGACACCCCCAGCCUAAAGCUCCAUCCCCGGGGUGGGCUGUGGAACAAGGCUGCAGCUCUGGAGCAGCGUCUGGGGAAGAGAGGAGCAGGCAGGGCGGGACUGUGGGACUCUGCCAUGGGAAGAGAUGAGCAUGGGACACCAAGCAGGGACUGGAGCUGGUGCUCCCUGCACUCUGUGCAGCUCCGUGGGAUGGCCGUGGGCACCCCUCAGAGGUGGCAGGGGACUGUGUGUGGCCGUGGGGAGCCCCACCGGCCUGUCUGGGGACUUGUACAUCCCCAGCUUGGCAGGAACAUGGUCGAAUGAGGGAUGAAGGUAGGCAUGAGGCAUGCAGGUGUCGGUGCCUGUGGAGAUGCUGGAACACCUCAUCCCAGCUCCGGGCUGGCCCCGGGAACUCCGUGUCCAGCCCAGAGGUGGGGCCGCUCCUCUCCUGGGGCACGGCUGGUGGCACGUCCCAUCCUGGGUGCCCCGCCAGCCUGGCUGCUGUGCCGAGCUGGCCCUCAGGGCUGUCCCGGCUCCGGGCGAGGCGGUGACCGCAGCGGCAGCAUCAGCGCUGUCUCGCAGCUCCAUCUAGCGCUGCGGGAUGGGCACGGCCCCGCUGCCCCCGGAGCCGCCGUGGCUGUCCCCCGCCCUGGGUGGCGCUGCCAAGGCCAACCUGCCAGGAGAGCCGGCCAGGCUGGUGGUGACGGGGAUGAACAGGCGGCACAGCGUGGCUGCUGGCCCGGGGCAGCCGGAACUGCCUCCCCCGAGCUCCUACUCUGUGCCAGGGAAUUUCCUGCAAGGAUUCCGGGAAACGUCGAGGGGCGCAGACGUUCCCAGUUCCUGAGCCAAAUGUAUCUGGGCUCAGCUGCCGGGUUUGCCACCUCCUCCCAUGGAAAUUGGGCCUCUGCCCUCUCCUUGGAACACUUGCUUCUCUAUCAGCCAGGUGGCUCCAGCUCUGUCAGUGCCUCACCCUCGGGGCCUUCACGUCACUUCUGCAUCCCCUGCAGUUUCUUGGGGCCCAUCUUCUGUACCUGGUGAGAGUGUGAUCCCUUCCCACAGCUUGUCACUGUUCCCCUUUCUCACAUUCAGGGCAAUGUCAGACCUUUCCAGCCUGGCUUUGGGGACACCAGGAUCUCAGCACCAUUACAGGGUCCUCUCAUCCCCUUGCUCUGUGUCCCCUGCUUGUCUCAGCUUGUCACCCCUUCUGGGUGCCUGCCACUCUCCACACCCUGCCUGGCACUGAGGUGCAGGCAGGAUUCUGGUGAGGGGGGGUGGUGCAGGAAGGAUUUUGGCUCAGAGCUGGAUGCCAUAAGAAUGGAAUGCUCUUCCAAAGGGGCUGUGGUGAUGGUUGGCCCCUCUCUUGGAGCACUGCAGAUGUGGCUGUCAGACCUGCAGUGGGGUGAGGCAGCUGCUGAGCCCAACAGGGAUUGCAGCCAGGUCCUGUAGCACUGAGGGCUGGUGGGCAGGUGCUCCCUAGGGCAGGAGGAAUUGGACACCUUGGACUGAAAAAAGGGUGCUUUGAAUCCUGUAUUUGCUCCAGCUGCCCUCCUCCUGUCCUUGGGGAGAGAUGGAACUGUGCUCAGGUCACCUGGCAGUGAAAUCCCUGUGUCUGAGUGGUUGAGUGCCUGCUCAGGGCUCUGCCUGCUCUGAUUUGGCAACCCAGGGGCGGGAUCUGUGCCCCCAAAAAGGAGCAGGGGACUCAGACCUGCCGAGGCCUCCUGUCUCCUCCCAGUGCUGCUGAACUGGAUGGCACUGGGUGAGAUGGGACGAGAUAUUGCUGAGCCCGUUGUCACCGCUCUGUGCUCGCUGUCCCCUUGCCCUGCCCGUUGUCACCGCUCUGUGCCCGCCGUCCCCACGCCCUGCCCGUUGCCUGCCCGCGCCGCCGGCACCUGCGGGAAGGUAAGAGUAGCAAAGCAGACACCGAACAUAACGUGGCCCUGGGCUGUUUGUGCGCCUUUUGUUCGGCAGCAGCUUUCAUGAAUCAGCUCAUUAAGCGCAUUAGGAUGGCUCUGCCGCCCCGCCUGAGCCUUGUUUGGGCGGGGCAGAUUUGGGGCACGGGCCAGGAGCCCCGGUGGCUUUGCCGGGCGGGCGGGCAGCUGAGGGCUCCCAGAGCAGCCCUUAGGGUGGGUGACAGCCUGAAGAGCUGCUGGCCAUGGGUGCUGAGGGUGUGAGAGCCUGGUGCGUGCCGUGGAGAGCGGGAGCCGGCCCAGUUCUCCUCACCUUGAUGGCAGCACACAGGGAAGGGUCUCUCACACCCAGUGCAGGGCCCUGCUUGGUUGUUCCAUUGCCAUCAGCUGUGCUUCAGGGAGACUUACAGUGUGAUGGACCCCAGAACUGUGCAGGGAGCUCCCAUGAAGCCAAAAGGCUGUUGUGCAUCACCCUCCUCCCUCGCUGCUGUGCAACAGCCCAGCUCGGAGUGCUCCCAGGCCAAGCCAUGGCUGGAGGGUGAUGAGGAUGGAGCUUCACGCCAAUCUCUGUGUGCCAGCCCCCCGAGCUGUGCUCAGCUCUCUCCAGUUCCCGAUGUGCCUCCAUGGGCCCUGACUGCGUGCCGGGCUCUGCUCUCACCUCAGGGUUUCCAAGGCUGCCAGGGCGGCUCAUGGCCCUCCCGAGGGGGGGGCAAGACCCCUGCGGCGAUUUCCAGCUGGCAGGAGCAGCCUCCCAAGCGCCUUCCCUGUCCCGAGGCUCCAGAAACAAAUGCCCCGGCCGGGAGGCACCGGUACCUGCUGUGGGAGCCAUCGAGGCCGGCACACCCCGGCUGCGAACCACGGGCCGGGAAGGCCGCGGCUGCCGGCCGCGAGUCACCACAGCGGCGGCGGCUGCCGCACCCGGCCAGGCCUAUGCCAAAGGCUCUAGCAGGCGCCUGAGGCAGCAGCUCCAAGCGAGACAGGGCUCUAGCUUUUCCCUCAUGCAGAGCCCUGCUUGUGGAGCUGGCUGGGGGCUGCUUUGUGGCCCAGAGAUGCCUGCCAAGCCUUUGAACUUCCAGAUGGGAACUGAUUUGGCCCCUACGAGUACUGAAAGGAUGCAAAAAGGUCUCUCCGGAGCCUUCUCAGGCUGAACAACCACAGCUGUCUCAGCCUAUCUUCACUGGCAAGCUGACCCUUUCCUCUGAUCAUUUUUGGGGCCUUCUCUGGACCUCCUCCAUCAGGUCCAUGUCUUUCCUGUACUGACACCCCAGGGAUGAAUGCAACACUCCAGGUGGGGUCUCACAAGAGUGGGGUAGAGGGGGAGAAUCAUCUCCCUUGACCUGCUGGCUGUGCUGCCUUGGAUGCAGCCCAGGAUACGAUUGGCCAUUAGAAUGAAAAGGCAGCAGGGUAGACUCAGACCCACUGGGAGCGUCUGUCCCUGUGCCCUGGGUCAGUCCUUGGUUGUAGCUGAGCUUGGCAGAGGUGGUGCCUGCUCCCUGUCUCUGCUGGACCCCUCCUCUGUGGGUCUAGCACGGUGUCUGCCCUACAACACAGACAGCGGCUCGCAAGACCUUCAACCUUUUUCACUUUUCCUUUUUGGAUACCUUUGUGUCUCCUCUUGGACAGAGUCCCACCCUCAGUGGCUGUGGUGUGUGCUGGGUGCAGUUUUGGUUGAAGUCUCUGUUUGAAGGCUGGCCUGGGAUGGUCACAGUGCUGACAAGACUCUGCCCUGCAGGUGCUCCAGGCUGGGAUCCAUCAGUGAGGUCUGGUGAAAGUUGCUGUCGUGGCUAAUGGGGAUUAAUGGUCCAACUUCAAACCCCCUAAACGACAUAUACUCUGUAUCCCUCCCACACACACCCAGUGGCUGAAUCCAGGAUGUGAAAUGAUGCCUUUCAUUUCCUUGUGGCUCUGAGGAUUUCAUGCCCAGCAACAGGACAGGCUGACCAAGGCACUGAGUGAUUACACAGCUGCCUGUGAUGUUCAGGAGCAGCAGCUGGAGAUGCCCCUUCCCACUAUGUCCAUGUGCAAGAGCUGAUUACAAACUGCAGGGAAAAGUGGCAGCAGGGCUGGAGAAAUGUGUCACAGAAAAUGUGCUGCUGUCACUGAAGCCUCCCCACGUGGGGAGUGUUGGUGUCAGUGGAGCUCCAGGGAGCCCAGCCCAGCACGGGAGUGGUGCUGUGGGCUCAGGGGAACCUGAGUUUUCCAGAGGGGCUUGAGUGUCCCCAGGCACUUGGAAAAGCACAACAGUGUGCAGUGCUGCUUGAGAAACCGGUGACAAGGGGACAGUUGGCCCCAAGGGAUUAACAGAGGGGAGGCCAAGGAGAAGCCUUGGUCAGAGAAGUCAGGACACCUUUCUGAUGUGGCCAGUUGGAGGAAGAGCACAGAGAGGGGGUUGUGGAAGGGGCAGAGCAGUGGGAAGCCCGGUUCUGCUGCUGGCUUGAGUGAUGGGAGUUUGUGCCUGCUGAGGUACAUUUUUGUAACAGAAAGGAAAACACACAAAACUGACAUUU
This is a long non-coding RNA of Zonotrichia leucophrys gambelii, 5025 nucleotides long. RefSeq lists it as uncharacterized. The transcript is spliced from 3 exons. NCBI's taxonomy places the organism in Eukaryota, Metazoa, Chordata, Aves, Passeriformes, Passerellidae. The record is from RefSeq and is a predicted model, not a curated record.